This 855-nucleotide ribosomal RNA is filed under the name uncultured fungus. Its description in RNAcentral is "SSU rRNA". It matches the Rfam family "Eukaryotic small subunit ribosomal RNA", at positions 564 to 1444 of the family's 1831-position model. Lineage: Eukaryota; Fungi. The record is from RNAcentral.
GUGCCAGCAGCCGCGGUAAUUCCAGCUCCAAUAGCGUAUAUUAAAGUUGUUGUGGUUAAAAAGCUCGUAGUUGAACCUUGGGCCUGGCUGGCCGGUCCGCCUCACCGCGUGCACUGGUCCGGCCGGGCCUUUCCCUCUGUGGAACCCCAUACCCUUCACUGGGCGUGGCGGGGAAACAGGACAUUUACUUUGAAAAAAUUAGAGUGCUCCAGGCAGGCCUAUGCUCGAAUACAUUAGCAUGGAAUAAUAAAAUAGGACGCGCGGUUCUAUUUUGUUGGUUUAUAGGACCGCCGUAAUGAUUAAUAGGGACAGUCGGGGGCAUCAGUAUUCAACUGUCAGAGGUGAAAUUCUUGGAUCAGUUGAAGACUAACUACUGCGAAAGCAUUUGCCAAGGAUGUUUUCAUUAAUCAGGAACGAAAGUUAGGGGAUCGAAGACGAUCAGAUACCGUCGUAGUCUUAACCAUAAACUAUGCCGACUAGGGAUCGGACGGUGUUAUUCAUGACCCGUUCGGCACCUUACGAGAAAUCAAAGUGCUUGGGCUCCAGGGGGAGUAUGGUCGCAAGGCUGAAACUUAAAGAAAUUGACGGAAGGGCACCACCAGGGGUGGAGCCUGCGGCUUAAUUUGACUCAACACGGGGCAACUCACCAGGUCCAGACACAAUAAGGAUUGACAGAUUGAGAGCUCUUUUCUUGAUUUUGUGGGUGGUGAUGCAUGCCGAUUCUUAGUUGGUGGGGUGACUUGUCUGCUUAAAUGCGAUAACGAACGAGACCUUAAACCUGCUAAAUAGCCCGCAUUGCUCCAGCAGUGCGCUGGCUUCUUAGAAGGGACUUUCCGGCUUCAAGCCGAAGGAAAG